RNAcentral lists this ribosomal RNA (497 nucleotides) under uncultured bacterium. RNAcentral describes it as "partial 16S ribosomal RNA". It matches the Rfam family "Bacterial small subunit ribosomal RNA", at positions 28 to 507 of the family's 1533-position model. The record is from RNAcentral.
GAUGAACGCUGGCGGCGUGCCUAAUACAUGCAAGUCGAGCGAACAGACGAGGAGCUUGCUCCUCUGACGUUAGCGGCGGACGGGUGAGUAACACGUGGAUAAUCUACCUAUAAGACUGGGAUAACUUCGGGAAACCGGAGCUAAUACCGGAUAAUAUAUUGAACCGCAUGGUUCAAUAGUGUAAGACGGUUUUGCUGUCACUUAUAGAUGGAUCCGCGCCGCAUUAGCUAGUUGGUAAGGUAACGGCUUACCAAGGCAACGAUGCGUAGCCGACCUGAGAGGGUGAUCGGCCACACUGGAACUGAGACACGGUCCAGACUCCUACGGGAGGCAGCAGUAGGGAAUCUUCCGCAAUGGGCGAAAGCCUGACGGAGCAACGCCGCGUGAGUGAUGAAGGUCUUCGGAUCGUAAAACUCUGUUAUUAGGGAAGAACAAAUGUGUAAGUAACUAUGCACGUCUUGACGGUACCUAAUCAGAAAGCCACGGCUAACUACGUG